Thalassophryne amazonica is the source of this 152-nucleotide long non-coding RNA. RefSeq lists it as uncharacterized. Lineage: Eukaryota; Metazoa; Chordata; Actinopteri; Batrachoidiformes; Batrachoididae. The record is from RefSeq and is a predicted model, not a curated record. The transcript has 3 exons.
AAAAGUAGAGAGGAAAAGAGAAAAAGAGAAAAAGCGAGCAGAUUGUACUCACUGCCGUCUUUCUUGAAAUAAUGCGUCCUUAUUUAUACGAGGAGCCACCUUCUUGAAGGUAAUACAAUCGAUUUGGAGUGGGUGGCAAAGCACUGCUGACA